AGUAGCCCAUCAGGAUGGACAGCGCCACUAAAAUAUCGAUUAAACUGCUGAUUCUGUAGUGAGCAAUAGGGAGAGGAAAGCACACAAUCAGGAAAUACUUCACUUCACUAGAAGAAUCUUUGCAAAUACAUUUUACUCCACUAUGCUGAAUCCUGGGGAUCAGUUGUUUUCGUACAUAUCUUUAGCUGAAAGAUCCAGUAAUUAUAUCAAGGAAAAUACCAGAGCAGGUGUGAAAAAAUGGGCCAGCCAGUGGCAUAAGUGUUUAAGGCAGCUGUAUUCCACAUGGCCAACUGU
This is a long non-coding RNA of Tupaia belangeri chinensis (Chinese tree shrew), 294 nucleotides long. RefSeq lists it as uncharacterized. The transcript is spliced from 3 exons. NCBI's taxonomy places the organism in Eukaryota, Metazoa, Chordata, Mammalia, Scandentia, Tupaiidae. The record is from RefSeq and is a predicted model, not a curated record.